This 367-nucleotide RNase P RNA is filed under the name Chitinophagales bacterium. RNAcentral describes it as "RNase P RNA component class A". It matches the Rfam family "Bacterial RNase P class A". Rfam says of the family: Ribonuclease P (RNase P) is a ubiquitous endoribonuclease, found in archaea, bacteria and eukarya as well as chloroplasts and mitochondria. Its best characterised activity is the generation of mature 5'-ends of tRNAs by cleaving the 5'-leader elements of precursor-tRNAs. The record is from RNAcentral. Lineage: Bacteria; Pseudomonadati; Bacteroidota; Chitinophagia; Chitinophagales.
ACCGCAGGUCGGCUCAUUGCUACUCCUGAGUAUUCAGGAAUAGAGGAAAGUCCGGGCAACAUAUAGCAGCUAUCUGGUUAACGGCCAGUUCCCGAUUUAUCGGGAAGGAAAGUGCUACAGAAAAUAACUGUCCGUCAGAUGGCGGGUAAAGGUGAAAACGUGGGGUAAGAGCCCACGACAUAGCGUGGUGACAUGUUGUGUGAGUAAACCCAUAGCGUUGCAAUGUCAAGUAAGCAGGAGUUUGAGGAUAGCUAGUCCGAUCCUGUGGGUAGGCAGCUAGAUCCCACUAGUAAUAGCGGGACGAGAUAAAUAAUGAGCAUCCGCCAGCUGGCGGAUACAGAACCCGGCUUAUAGACCUGCUUUUUUU